UACGUAGGGGCAAGCGUUAUCCGGAAUUACUGGGCGUAAAGGGUGCGUAGGUGGUCUUUCAAGCCAGAAGUGAAAGGCUACGGCUCAACCGUAGUAAGCUUUUGGAACUGUAAGACUUGAGUGCAGGAGAGGAGAGUGGAAUUCCUAGUGUAGCGGUGAAAUGCGUAGAUAUUAGGAGGAACACCAGUAGCGAAGGCGGCUCUCUGGACUGUAACUGACGCUGAGGCACGAAAGCGUGGGGAGCAAACAGGAUUAGAUACCCUGGUAGUCCCU
This 273-nucleotide ribosomal RNA is filed under the name uncultured prokaryote. RNAcentral's name for it is "partial 16S ribosomal RNA". It matches the Rfam family "Bacterial small subunit ribosomal RNA", at positions 524 to 798 of the family's 1533-position model. The record is from RNAcentral.